This 163-nucleotide small nucleolar RNA is filed under the name Trichoderma atroviride IMI 206040. Lineage: Eukaryota; Fungi; Ascomycota; Sordariomycetes; Hypocreales; Hypocreaceae. The record is from RNAcentral.
UCGUCUGUUUCCAUGCUCGGUCAGCGUGUCCACGCCUGCUGAUCUUGAGCCGGAUGCCCAUACUUGUAUGAGCACAAGACAAGAACAUUCACAACGCUUUUUGAGUACGAGGCCUUUUUUAUUUAUUUAUGGAGGUUAUCGUAAUUUAUCUGUUGUUACAUGC